This is a long non-coding RNA of Drosophila albomicans, 905 nucleotides long. RefSeq lists it as uncharacterized. NCBI's taxonomy places the organism in Eukaryota, Metazoa, Arthropoda, Insecta, Diptera, Drosophilidae. The record is from RefSeq and is a predicted model, not a curated record. The transcript is spliced from 3 exons.
GGUGAUCAUCUCUCUGAAAUAUAAAUCGAAAAGGUGGCGCCGGGUUAUUUUUUGAAAAACAACAAAGCAAACAAAUGACGUUCGAAUGGAAAUUAACCGCCCACUUUCAUCAUAAGAUGGCGACGUUUCUCAGAUUACUUUCGUUGUGUAUGUGUGUGUGCGCUGCAUAUGCAUUUGUAUGCGUAAGAAUUCAUUUCAAAUGUUUGCAAACAGUUUAAAUCGGUUUAAACCGAAUUUAGGGUUAAUCGCCGAAAACAUGAAAAGAUUUCAUUGACAAAACUCGUAAAUUUUGAAAUUAUAGCUUGCCGUAUGGAUUAAACCUCCAAAGACAAAAAAAAAACAUUGACUUUAUAUUUUUAGUAUGAAUCACACACACAUUAUGCCGCUGGACGAGAGCAGGCGGGGAGAGCGAAGAGAUGACGGCGACUGCGACGGCGGCAAUGGCGAACAAGUCAAAAAAUAAAAACAAGAAUGAGCUGAAUACUCUGAAUACCACACACAUAGCGAAGUUGUCAUACUCUACGUUGGUGGCGCUACCUAUGGGCAUUGCAUAAAUUAGAUGCGCAUUUCGUGGUAAUACAAUAACAAUGCAAUGUGAGGUAUAUUGGAGAAUAUACGCACUUAAAGCGUUGGGAGUACAUGUAACAAUUGCGCACUUUUGGGAUAGUCGAACCCAAAUGACAACACGAAGCAAUGAGACUCACGCGUAGAAAGGGUAAACAUUACGCGGCACGGCCUUUGCCACUGAUGUCUCAUCUCUAAGUCGCUAGGCAUUGAUAUUUGCUAUUGCACACAGGAAAAAACCAAAAGUGUUGUUUGUUUGGCAAAGUUACAUUUCUAUCUUGUUUACUUGUUGAAAGAAGCAGUAGAGACGAAGAAACAUCGAUGGAACUAUCGAUGCAGCA